AGAGAAGCAAGCCAUUUGCCAAACCUAUCUUAUCAAUAUCAACAACAUAACAUGACAAUGAUACUAAGGUCCUUUCUUUUAUUUCCUCUCAUAUGCUCUCAUGUGGUUCUUGUCUCCUCUCACGUGGUUCCACCACCUUCACAUCCCUUCUUAUUCCCUUUGACACCAUACCCCACACCUCUCCAUCAUUAUGAAGGAUGUUAUCCUCGACCAAACGGGGUUAGUCUUGGUCAGCCCAUCUUAAUCAUAUCCCGGUUAGCGGACUCUACGGGUUGGUCAGGUUUAACCUUGAAUGACCAACUUGUAGUUAGCCUACAUAAUAAGACGACCCGUUAUGCGGGAUUUCAGCCAAUGGAUA
This is a long non-coding RNA of Arabidopsis thaliana (thale cress), 358 nucleotides long. RefSeq annotates it as other RNA. The record is from RefSeq. Lineage: Eukaryota; Viridiplantae; Streptophyta; Magnoliopsida; Brassicales; Brassicaceae. The transcript has a single exon.